UCAUCGAGUCUUUGAACGCACAUUGCGCCCAUUGGUAUUCCUUUGGGCAUGUCUGUUUGAGCGUCAUUACAACCCUCAGCUAACCCGCUGGUCUUGAGCCGGAGCAGGUAAACCCUGCGCCGGUUUUAAAGUUGUAAGCUCUGCUGGCUGCUCUGCCAAACCAGAACAUAGUAAAACACUACUUGUUGAGGUGAAGCUAAGCGGUACGGCCUGAACAAAACCUACCCAUUUUCAAGGUUUGACCUCAGAUCAGAUAAGGAUACCCGCUGAACUUAAGCAUAUCAAUAAGCGGAGGAAAAGAAACCAACAGGGAUUGCCUCAGUAACGGCGAGUGAAGCGGCAACAGCUCAAAUUUGAAAUCUGGAGCCUUCGGCUUCCGAGUUGUAAUUUGAAGAGGAUGUUUCGGUGCGACCUGGGCCUAAGUUCCUUGGAACAGGACGUCAUGGAGGGUGAGAAUCCCGUACAUGGCUGCAGGUUUGCUUCUAUGUGAAACUCCUUCGAAGAGUCGAGUUGUUUGGGAAUGCAGCUCAAAAUGGGUGGUAAAUUUCAUCUAAAGCUAAAUAUUGGCGGGAGACCGAUAGCGCACAAGUAGAGUGAUCGAAAGAUGAAAAGCACUUUGAAAAGAGAGUUAAACAGUACGUGAAAUUGUUGAAAGGGAAGCGCUUGCAAUCAGACUCGCCUUCAGUUGAUCAGCCUUCCUUCUGGUUGGUGCACUCUGCUGUUGGCGGGCCAGCAUCAGUUGGGGCGGUGGGACAAAGGCGGCAGGAAUGUGGCUCGCUUCGGUGAGUGUUAUAGCCUGCUGUGUCAUGCCACCAG
Molecule: ribosomal RNA, 816 nt
Filed under: uncultured Orbiliaceae
Lineage: Eukaryota; Fungi; Ascomycota; Orbiliomycetes; Orbiliales
Description: eukaryotic LSU rRNA
Rfam family: Eukaryotic large subunit ribosomal RNA (bases 240-816)
Source: RNAcentral